GGCUGGUACAGCGCAGGGGGGUCUAUC
This 27-nucleotide small RNA is filed under the name Bombyx mori (domestic silkworm). RNAcentral describes it as "ovarian small RNA-17469". The record is from RNAcentral. Lineage: Eukaryota; Metazoa; Arthropoda; Insecta; Lepidoptera; Bombycidae.